UUCCAGGUAUAGUAUUAUGCUUGCUUAUAAGUUACUCUUUGUGUUUGUCACAUCGUUAGUUUAUUAAAGACAAAAGAUCAAAUUUUACAAUUGUGAAUUGGUGGAUUUGGAUUCAGUUUUAUUAUAAAACAGUCAAAUAAACAAAAUUAGCUACCGAGUAGGGUCAGUGUGUUGACAGUUAACCUAAAUUCUAUUUACAGUUAAUCAUAAUCGACACAUUAGUUAUUUAUAACUUUUUAAAUGACCACAAGGGAUCGGAGAAACAUUCGGAAGAGUAACAAUUGAAGCAAUGGCAUUUGGUAUACCGGUGCUUGGAACUGAUGCAGGAGGUACAAAAGAGACUGUUGAACACAAUGUAACUGGUCUUCUGCAUCCCAUUGGGCACCCAGGAACCCCUGUUCUUUCCAAACACCUUCGGUA
Molecule: long non-coding RNA, 420 nt
Organism: Helianthus annuus (common sunflower)
Lineage: Eukaryota; Viridiplantae; Streptophyta; Magnoliopsida; Asterales; Asteraceae
Exons: 2
Source: RefSeq, a predicted model, not a curated record